Long non-coding RNA from Homarus americanus (American lobster), 3718 nucleotides. RefSeq lists it as uncharacterized. The transcript has 2 exons. NCBI's taxonomy places the organism in Eukaryota, Metazoa, Arthropoda, Malacostraca, Decapoda, Nephropidae. The record is from RefSeq and is a predicted model, not a curated record.
ACAUUCUCAGCACUAACUACUUUAAAGAGUCAAGUGAAUUUGAGCAGCAUUUGGAUACCUAUAUGUAUUGUAAACUGUAUCACAACAGACGGCCCAGCAUUUGGAGCAGUCAGGAUGAUAUAUUGUUUGUUUACCGAGCAAUGGAGUCCUUCAUAGCAAGUGAUGGGAGUCAUAGUGGCAGCAGUAGUGACAUGGCUGGCCUCAAUGACCCAAUCAUUGCCAUGCCCCCUGUCACUACCAUUACACCAAUAGCACCGAUAGCACCUAAAGCCCCUCCCUCACCCCUCCCUAUAACAUCCCCCCCAGCUACCCCAUCAGCCCCUCCUUUACCCACAGUUAGUACACCUCCCAGUACCUGUGCAAAUGGUCAGGUGCCCUCCAAUGGACAUGCAACAUUAACAGGUAAUGGCACCAUCAGAGUCCCACCUGAGGGUAUGGAGGACACACCACAAGCAGCAGACAUCCCUCCAGUUUGAGUGAUUUUUGAUCUAUUUUAUUCAGUUGUGACAAAGACAUUAUUUCUAAUUUUAAGUGGUGCACUCUUAUGAGAUAAUAUAUGGAACUACUGCCAGGUUCUCAUGCAUACAGCACACUGUAAAUAUCAAAGAAAACAAUGAGAUUACUGUUAUACUGACAACCAUACAUAAACAUAAAAAUAGAAAAUUUAUGAUUUUAAAUUGAGAGUGAAAGUUAAUGGUAAUACUGAGGUGAAGUGAAAAGUGAAAUAUGUUGUUAUAAUUGUGUGCAUUAUCGUCACUGAACCUUAUGUAAUGUAAAUGUGAAAAUGCAGAACUAUUGUUAAAAGAUACUGACUUCACACUGAAAACACAUCAAUGCAUUUAAUGUAUUUUCAUAAAAGACAUUGUUAGGUGUAAGUGAUGCAUUCGUCCUGGAAAUGAUAAGCAGUAAAAAUCUGAUAGGUGCGCUGCCCCCACAAACCAGUGGUUAACGUAGCCAGUUUGUGUGAAAGGAACUUUGUGUCCUACUGCUGCUGUUGCCACUAGCCUAUGUUAAAUGCUUAAGGGCAACUCUGUGCUGCUUUCCCAGACAACUGCUUUAUGUACAGUGUAUAGCUAGUUUUCUAAAUGAGGGGGUCCCAUAGUGAGUCUACCCUAUUGUGUACAGAAUAAUUUUCGUAAUUUGUCUGUGGUGUCUUUCAUUUCUUAUACAGUAAUGGUACUUCUUUACAUGCUGCUUUAUAGCUUACAUUUUCUACAUGAUUAAUGAGAGAAUGAAUAGAAGGAUGAUGUUCCCAUGUGUAAAAGACAUCUAGUCUUAGGUAUUGUAAUUUAGAGUAGAGAUAUUUUGGUAUGGAGGUGCAUUUGCCUUGAUUCCAUAGUGCUCCUGAAAACAUAUUUUCUCACCAACAUUUUUUUCAUCUUAUGACUGAAUGUUCAUAUGAAUUGUAAUUUUUUUAUGAGAAGUAGUGCAUGAGCAAGGCUUCCUGUUUCAUUGUGCAUUAAGUCUUGCACAAAAAAUAGUCGUAACUAGUGGACUGGACAUUCAGACAAUACAGUAUACAAAUUGUGACCAAAGGCACAAGAUUUAACCACUGAAACUGAACACAUUUCAUCAUAGUAAAAAAAAGGGUCUUGGGUUUAAUGUACAAAUUUGUUUGAUUCAGCAUUGGAUGAAGCACCCCAUUACCAUUUUAACAUCCCGUUUCAGAAAAUAAAAAUCGUCUCGGUAUUUUCUUGCAUUCAUGGUGGUUUAUUUAAAAAGUUUGAAAUAUAGAAAAGAUUACUUUGUACAGUAGUUGUGGUUGUCAUAGGUAGUUAAGAGAUAAACUAACCUUUGAUUUUUGAGAGCUGUUGAUAUUAUGAUGUAUUGUCUUCUGAGUCCACAAGUUAUAUCACGAUGCCUUCAGGUUACCUACUAAUAGUUCAAGUCUGGCAUGUCUCCUUGACUGUAUACUGUGACAAGCCGCUGCACUCCUGUGGCAUCAUUUUGAAUGAUUCCAGCAUUUACACUUGCUUCCAGUACAGUAACAGGCUGCAAAAUUUUCAUUACAAUCACAUAAAUUGUGCUCAUAUCAGAUAAAUGGAAAAUUAUAUACUUCUACGGUUGUGUUGCAUUUAUAUCCUGUUAAACUUACCUUAGUUUGUGGCUGUACAAGAAAGCACAACUUUGCAUACUGUUCAUCUUAAAUAUUUUAAUGGUAUUUUCUAGUUUAUGUGGAAUGUGUAACAGUUAUGUUAUAGAGAUAUAAUUUAUGCUUUACAUCGCAAAGCAAGUAAUAUUUAUUUCAAGUUGGGUAAAGUGAUGCUGUUUUGCUUGGGUAUAAUACAGCAUUUUGAAAUCCAUGAAUACUGAGUACAAACCAAGUUUUGUUUUUAAUUUUAUUUGUUUUUGUUUGUAGACUUACAAAAUGUGUUAUACAGUACUGCCAGUCCUCUUAGUCAAACACUUUUAAUAAAUUCAGUAUAUUCAUGUAUAUAUGGCCAUCAAUCUCAUUGAAAUGAAUUUCAUUUGGGUAGUUAGCAUAAAACACUUUUUAAGUUGAAUACCUACAAUGAUAAUUUUCCAAGGAGCACACACAGUUAUAAGAUUACAGUGUUACUGUAGGUACUGUAUAGUAAACCAGUGAGAACAGUAAAUAUUUUGUAUGAGGUAAGACUAGUUUAGUGAGGAUUGGUGGUGUAUUGCAGGACAGUGUUAAAAAUGACCUCAGGAUCUCACAUUUCCAAUAAUUCACCAACCAACUAAGCUGCAAUUGCCAGCAUUGAAAACAACUUCGUUUGAAGGUCAGUCUGUUGCGCAUUUAGCCACUUCACACAUAUAGUAAGGGACUCGUAGAUAGUGGUUGAACAUACUUGACAGUGUUUCAUGAGCAAAAGAUAGUAAUUUCAAUCUUGUGGGCAAUACAGUAUCUGAAUUCAUUUUAGUUGUUUACUGGUGGAAUGUUUACCAGGAUAAUUCUGAUUGCAUAAUUGAGUGUCAGUGAAACCUGUUGCCAGUUUGCCUUUAUUAAUAAUUUUGUCAAUAUUGAUGACAUUCCCACCAGUGUCUGGUGCAGUGACAAUAUACAACCCAUAAGCAGCAGCUGCCAAUAGAUGAAGCUUAAUAUUCUAGAAUUCCAAUGCAUUACUUUCAUUGUUUCAUUUGUUUUUCUUGGAGCAUUUAAUUUGCAGGUAAACUCCAAAUUGAUAUUAUCAUCAUCAUAGUAUUCAUUCAUCACCAAAAUAGUUUAGUAUCUUUUAUCUGGCCUCUGAUGAUGCAUGCCCAAGACUGCUGUGGAGAACCAAUUAUCUGUUGCCGGGUCAUCAGCAGCAUGUUACAAUAUUACUACACAUGUCUUGGGUCAUGUUACAAACUUUUUUUAAUUAUUGCCCUUCCAAAGAAUAAUGGUAUGUAAAAAUCAUUUUUUGUAUGUAAAUAUUUGUACAGGUAGAAUUUGUUAGAACUGUGUACCUCAUGGCUUAAUAAGUCUGUCUAUAGGCUGUGUGUGCAGAAACUUCAGUAUAUUUAUGCAUUUAAGUUGACUUGGAAAACAUGAGUCAUGAAUCCAUCAUUAGAUUCUUCUGUAUACAGUACAGUCUGCACCAGAGCCAGGUCAUGAAAGAUUACUUAUGUGAUUUAGAUCAUAGCUUACUGUUCCUACUGUGUGUGUCUCGAGUAAACUGCCGGUGGCUGCUUUAGAUGGCCAGCACAGCUUACUCUGCCAGUCAUUAUAUUGGAUAUAAAGGAGUUAAUAAAAAGACCAAUAAAGUGAGUGUAA